RNAcentral lists this ribosomal RNA (925 nucleotides) under uncultured bacterium. Its description in RNAcentral is "bacterial SSU rRNA". It matches the Rfam family "Bacterial small subunit ribosomal RNA", at positions 8 to 928 of the family's 1533-position model. The record is from RNAcentral.
AGAGUUUGAUCAUGGCUCAGAUUGAACGCUGGCGGCAUGCCUUACACAUGCAAGUCGAACGGCAGCACGGGUGCUUGCACCUGGUGGCGAGUGGCGAACGGGUGAGUAAUACAUCGGAACGUACCUUAUCGUGGGGGAUAACGCAGCGAAAGCUGUGCUAAUACCGCAUACGCCCUGAGGGGGAAAGCGGGGGAUCGAAAGACCUCGCGCGAUUAGAGCGGCCGAUGCCUGAUUAGCUUGUUGGUGGGGUAAAAGCCCACCAAGGCGACGAUCAGUAGCUGGUCUGAGAGGACGAUCAGCCACACUGGGACUGAGACACGGCCCAGACUCCUACGGGAGGCAGCAGUGGGGAAUUUUGGACAAUGGGGGAAACCUUGAUCCAGCAAUGCCGCGUGAGUGAAGAAGGCCUUCGGGUUGUAAAGCUCUUUUGUCAGGGAAGAAACACCGGCUCUAACACAGUCCGGGAAUGACGGUACCUGAAGAAUAAGCACCGGCUAACUACGUGCCAGCAGCCGCGGUAAUACGUAGGGUGCGAGCGUUAAUCGGAAUUACUGGGCGUAAAGCGUGCGCAGGCGGUUAUACAAGACAGGCGUGAAAUCCCCGGGCUUAACCUGGGAAUGGCGCCUGUGACUGUAUAGCUAGAGUGUGUCAGAGGGGGGUAGAAUUCCACGUGUAGCAGUGAAAUGCGUAGAUAUGUGGAGGAAUACCAAUGGCGAAGGCAGCCCCCUGGGAUAACACUGACGCUCAUGCACGAAAGCGUGGGGAGCAAACAGGAUUAGAUACCCUGGUAGUCCACGCCCUAAACGAUGCUGACUAGUUGUUCGGGAUUUACAUCCUGAGUAACGUAGCUAACGCGUGAAGUCAGCCGCCUGGGGAGUACGGUCGCAAGAUUAAAACUCAAAGGAAUUGACGGGGACUCGCACAA